CUUAGAAGGAAAUUAUUUAAAUAUUCACAAUACUGACUUAAUUGAGAUUCAUGAGAUAUUUGAUGAAAAUAAAAUUAAUCAUGUUAAAAAUGAAAAUUUUUUUUUUUAUAAAAAUAUAAAUAAAAAAAAAUUAAAACAACAAAAAAAAAAGGAAAAUCGUUCUAUAAAAGUUAUAAACAAUGAAGCACAGAAAAAAUGUCAAAAUUAUUAUGAGCAAAAUCAUGUUGAUCAAAAUAAGCUUUAUAACAACGAUAAUGUAAAUUCUAACGAUAUAGAAAAAAAAAAAAAAAAAUUUAUUUUUUUUGGAUGAUGGUGUACAAGCCGAUGAUAACAUGCUAGGCGGUGACAACAUGCAAGACGAUGAUAACAUACAUGACGAUGAUAACAUACAUGACGAUGAUAACAUACAUGACGAUGAUAACAUACAAGACGAUGAGGAACAAAUGAUUGACCUAGAGCAUAUAAACAUGAACGAUAAUGAAUAUAAAAACGAUGACAUGUUUAUGUCAACCUGCAACGGAGAUAUUGAACGAAAAGUAAAAUUUAAGAACAAAAAAUUUUUAAAAGAGGAAAAAACUGAUGAUAAUGAAGUAAAUAAAGAAGAAAUUGAUUGGGGGGGAGUGGGUUCUGACUCUGUCAAUAAUUCAUUUCUAAACGAAAAGAGGAAAACGAACAUAUACAACAAAUUGGAUGAUGAUGAUGAUGAUGGUAUUGAUAUGUACGUGAAUAAAGAAUUUGAUUCCGUUGAUGAAAAUUUAAAUGACAACAAUUAUAGUAUAGAAAGGGUGGAUUUUGAAAAUGAAAAAGAAGAAUUGAUAAAAUUAAAUAACAAUAUAAAAAGUAAUAUAAAUCUUAUAGAUGAUAAUACAAAGGAACAAUAUGAUAGUUUUUUUUCAGACAUAAUAUUUGAUAAUAAAACUGCUGAAAAUAUGAGUGAUACCUUUAGUGUAAAAGAAGAACAUAAUAAAAAGAACGGAAGUUUAUUAUUAAAUGAAGAUGACAUAAAUGUGUUUGAUAAAACAAAUGAAAAUGAGAAUACUAAUUUGGAUGAUGACUUUUGGGUAGAUAUAUUAGAUGAUAACGCUGAUGUUAACAGUGUUAACAGUAUAGGUAAAAGUAUUAUUCACACUAAUAACCACGACUAUAACAUGAACAAUGUAAGUGUCGACGAAAGUUGCAAUUUCGACGAUUUGAAUGAAAAUAUAUUUAAUCCAAAUGAAAUAAGCGAAAAUAAAAGUGACUAUUUAAAUCAAUAUAUCGAUGAAAACAAAAAUGAUAGUGAGAAAGUUAUACAAAAGAAUAAUUCUGUAAGCUUUGAAAAAUUAAGCGACAUAUUUGAUGAAUUUUUUGAUAAUGAUAAUGAUAAUGAUAAUGUAAAUGAAAAUGGAAACGACAAUGACAAUGACAGUAAUAUUAACAACAAAGACAAUAUUGAUAAUGCUGUUGAUAGUACUAAAUUAGGAAGUCUAUAUCAGGACGGUGUAGAUGACACAUCUAACGCUAAAAAAAAAUUAAACUCGUCGACUAGACUGAUAAUAAGUGAUGAUAAAAUAAAAAAAUCAAAUUCGAUAUCAUUUGACUAUACUGAUGAGAAGGAAAAAAAUAAUUUAGAUGUUGAAAAAACGGAUGUCUCCGUUUUGAAUAAUGUAAAUUGUGCCAAUUUAAACGAUGUACGCGAAAUCAUAAAAGAUGUUGACACAAGUAAGGUAAAAAAUGACUUUUUAAACAAUAUGAUGAUGUAUACUUAUGGGAAUGAUGACAGUAGUAAAGCAGUUGGUUAUUAUAAUAACGAGAAGAAAAUAAGCUUAAAAAAAGGAACUGAUAAAAAUAAAUUUGAUAUUUUUAAAAAUAUUUAUGAAAAUUAUUACAAUACAAAUAGUAAUACAAAGGAAAUCACAUAUGCGAGUACCACCAAUAAGUAUAACGAAUUGUACUUAUUCGGAAAUAAUAUCAUAAACAACUCUUAUUUAUUUAUGUUACUGAAUUAUAAACAUAUACGGUAUUAUAAUUAUGAUAAUGCGUUGUAUACUUUAAACAGUGAAGAUUAUUCAAAAUAUGUUUUUAAAAAUAAUAAUCCAGAAAAAUAUAUUUUACAUGAUGAAGCAAUUAUUAAUGAAAUUUUUGGAAUUAAUGAUAAGGCUAUUAGUUAUAAUAGACAACUUUAUGGAGCUGAAAAAUUGUUAGAAAAAAAAAAAAACGAUGAGGUGCAUUAUGAUGUACAACAACAUAACUAUAGCAAUUAUAGCAUUUACAACAAUAGCAAUAAAAAUAUGAUGAAAAAUGGUCAUCAACAAAAUGAUGAUUUUACUACAAAUAUAUUAUAUAAUAAUGACCCUUACAGUUUUAAUAUGAACGGUAAUGCUAUUAUAACAACUAAUGAUACAACUACUACUACUGCUGCAGCGGAUGUUCCUGCUUCUUCUGUAGUUGCCAUUACCUCUAAUAAAACGAACACAAUUAACAAUAAUGACAAUACACAUAAUAUAACAAUAGGAAAACAAAAAAGAGUUAUCUAUGAUGAAGUAGAAAAUAAUCAAAUCCCUUUAAAAAAAAGAAAGAAUGAAUUGUUUUAUAUGCAUCCUGAAAACCACUUAUUUAACCGUACUAGUACAUAUAGAACAACAGGUGAUGAACUUUAUUUAAAUAACUUUUUUAAUAUAUUAAAAGAAUUAAAUAAAAAUAAUAUUAGACAUAGUCCUGAUGCAAUAUUACAAAUAGUAAAA
This 2723-nucleotide long non-coding RNA is filed under the name Piliocolobus tephrosceles (Ugandan red Colobus). RNAcentral's name for it is "lncRNA (ENSPTEG00000007283.1)". The record is from RNAcentral. Lineage: Eukaryota; Metazoa; Chordata; Mammalia; Primates; Cercopithecidae.